GCAACUGUAGUGUAGUGGUUAGCAUUUCGCCUUCCCAUUGCAACAGACGUAAUGAACCAGGCGGAGACCCGAGUUCGAAUCUCGGCAGUUGCA
This 93-nucleotide transfer RNA is filed under the name Cercospora zeae-maydis SCOH1-5. It matches the Rfam family "tRNA". From Rfam's summary of the family: Transfer RNA (tRNA) molecules are approximately 80 nucleotides in length. The record is from Rfam by way of RNAcentral. Lineage: Eukaryota; Fungi; Ascomycota; Dothideomycetes; Mycosphaerellales; Mycosphaerellaceae.